CUUAAUCGAUUUUUUAAAUAAUAUUUUUACACCGAAAGUCCUUGAUUUUAUUUAUAGUUGAAAGGCUUGUUCUUAAUCUUAUCAGGUAGACUAGUAUAAACUAUUUUUAUGUUGUGAUAAAUUAUUCGGUAGGUCUUAUAUCUGUUUUACAGCUUUUUUUGUUUAAUCAACUUUCUGGCUAAGAGGUCAGAUAGUAUAAAAUAUCUUUGUUUUUAUUCACUAAGAAAGGGUUAAAAUUACCCAGUCUUUAUAAUUGUGUUACAACUUUUGUUGAAUGGUUUGGUAGAUUUUGUUAGAUAGCUGUUAAUGGUAACUUUUAGUAAUUUUUUAUGAUUAAAUUAGUAAUUUCAAUAUGGGUUCUGUUUCUCUAGAGUUACCUGUCUGUUUAUUAAAAACAUUUCCACCUGUUUAUAAUACGUGGUAGUACCUGCUCUAUGCUUUAAGUAAAUGGCCGCAGUAUCUUGACUGUGCGAAGGUAGCAUAAUUAAUUGCCUUAUAAUUGAAGGCUUGUUUGAAUGGUUUGACAAGGUAGUAUCGAACAUGACUUAUAUUAUUGAAUUUAAUUCUGGGGGCACAGAAUCCCCUCAUUUAAAUUAGACGGAAAGACCCCGGGAUCUUGGAAUUUUGUCUGGGGCAGAUUAUGGUGAUUCACUUAUAAAUUGGACCCUAAUGGUGCAUUGGUGUAAGUUACCCCGGGGAUAACAGUGUAAUAGUUUAUUAGAGAUCUUAUCGAAUUAACUGUUUGCCACCUCGAUGUUGACUUAGGUUUAAACUUGGGCGCAGUAGUUUAAGUUUUUGGUCUGUUCGACCCUUAGU
This 816-nucleotide ribosomal RNA is filed under the name Anteropora sp. n. 1 AW-2016. Its description in RNAcentral is "partial 16S ribosomal RNA". The stretch from base 375 to 531 matches the Rfam family "Archaeal large subunit ribosomal RNA", at positions 1885 to 2088 of the family's 2987-position model. Lineage: Eukaryota; Metazoa; Platyhelminthes; Cestoda; Lecanicephalidea; Anteroporidae. The record is from RNAcentral.